This 279-nucleotide unclassified non-coding RNA is filed under the name Lepiota sp. RNAcentral describes it as "partial contains 5.8S ribosomal RNA, internal transcribed spacer 2, and large subunit ribosomal RNA". Lineage: Eukaryota; Fungi; Basidiomycota; Agaricomycetes; Agaricales; Agaricaceae. The record is from RNAcentral.
CGCACCUUGCACUCCUUGGUAUUCCGAGGAGUAUGCCUGUUUGAGUGUUAUUUUAUUCUCAAUCUAACUUCACUUUGUGAAGCUAGCUUGGACUUGGGGAUUGCUGGCCUAGUGUCUGCUUCCCUUGAAUGCAUUAGUUGAACUGACUUGCAACGCUAUGUGUGGUGUGAUAAUAUCUUCACUGCAUAGUUGUAAUGAAGUCUAACUUCUAAUCGUCCUUUACUGUGACAAACUUGACUAUUACACCUCAAAUCAGGUAGGACUACCCGCUGAACUUAA